GUCGUGAGAUGUUGGGUUAAGUCCCGCAACGAGCGCAACCCUCGUCCCUAGUUACCAGCGGGUUAUGCCGGGCACUCUAGGGAGACUGCCGGUGUCAAACCGGAGGAAGGUGGGGAUGACGUCAAGUCAUCAUGGCCCUUACGUCCAGGGCGACACACGUGCUACAAUGGCCGGUACAGAGCGUCGCCAACCCGCGAGGGUGCGCUAAUCGCCAAAAGCCGGUCUAAGUUCGGAUUGCAGUCUGCAACUCGACUGCAUGAAGCCGGAAUCGCUAGUAAUCGUGGAUCAGCCAUGCCACGGUGAAUACGCUCCCGGGCCUUGUACACACCGCCCGUCACGCCAUGGAAGCUGGGGGGACCUGAAGCCGGUGGGCUAACUCGCAAGAGGGGCAGCCGUCAAAGGUCAAUUCAGUGACUGGGGCGAAGUCGUAACAAGGUAGCCGUAGGGGAACCUGCGGCUGGAUCACCUCCUUUCUGGAGCGACGAGUACGCUCGGUGCACCCCCUACACGGGAACCCGAGACGAAAGUCCUCAGAAGUCGCCCGCACUCUAUCGCUUUCUAGCUUGCAUCACUUCUUCUUGGCGGGCCCCGUGGGGUCCGCCCUGCUCUUUGACAAUCGACGAAUGAAUGGUUUGCCUGGAGGCGCCCGGGUGCUCGCUUGCGAGUGCACGGAUGUCGUCAGGCAGGGUGUGAGGAAUCAACACCGGUCGUCCUGAUCCGAUCGCAGGAUCGGGAACGACAUGAGAUUUGAGAUCAAACGCAAUAAGGCACACGGUGGAUGCCUUGGCAUCGAGAGGCGAUGAAGGGCGUGAUAAGCUGCGAUAAGCCUGGGGGAGCUGCACAUGAGCCGUGAUCCCAGGAUGC
RNAcentral lists this small RNA (864 nucleotides) under uncultured Gemmatimonas sp. RNAcentral describes it as "bacterial SSU rRNA". The stretch from base 1 to 473 matches the Rfam family "Bacterial small subunit ribosomal RNA", at positions 1064 to 1533 of the family's 1533-position model. The record is from RNAcentral. Lineage: Bacteria; Pseudomonadati; Gemmatimonadota; Gemmatimonadia; Gemmatimonadales; Gemmatimonadaceae.